RNAcentral lists this ribosomal RNA (874 nucleotides) under Bacillus spizizenii. RNAcentral describes it as "bacterial SSU rRNA". It matches the Rfam family "Bacterial small subunit ribosomal RNA", at positions 55 to 912 of the family's 1533-position model. The record is from RNAcentral. Lineage: Bacteria; Bacillati; Bacillota; Bacilli; Caryophanales; Bacillaceae.
AUGCAGUCGAGCGGACAGAUGGGAGCUUGCUCCCUGAUGUUAGCGGCGGACGGGUGAGUAACACGUGGGUAACCUGCCUGUAAGACUGGGAUAACUCCGGGAAACCGGGGCUAAUACCGGAUGCUUGUUUGAACCGCAUGGUUCAAACAUAAAAGGUGGCUUCGGCUACCACUUACAGAUGGACCCGCGGCGCAUUAGCUAGUUGGUGAGGUAAUGGCUCACCAAGGCAACGAUGCGUAGCCGACCUGAGAGGGUGAUCGGCCACACUGGGACUGAGACACGGCCCAGACUCCUACGGGAGGCAGCAGUAGGGAAUCUUCCGCAAUGGACGAAAGUCUGACGGAGCAACGCCGCGUGAGUGAUGAAGGUUUUCGGAUCGUAAAGCUCUGUUGUUAGGGAAGAACAAGUACCGUUCGAAUAGGGCGGUACCUUGACGGUACCUAACCAGAAAGCCACGGCUAACUACGUGCCAGCAGCCGCGGUAAUACGUAGGUGGCAAGCGUUGUCCGGAAUUAUUGGGCGUAAAGGGCUCGCAGGCGGUUUCUUAAGUCUGAUGUGAAAGCCCCCGGCUCAACCGGGGAGGGUCAUUGGAAACUGGGGAACUUGAGUGCAGAAGAGGAGAGUGGAAUUCCACGUGUAGCGGUGAAAUGCGUAGAGAUGUGGAGGAACACCAGUGGCGAAGGCGACUCUCUGGUCUGUAACUGACGCUGAGGAGCGAAAGCGUGGGGAGCGAACAGGAUUAGAUACCCUGGUAGUCCACGCCGUAAACGAUGAGUGCUAAGUGUUAGGGGUUUCCGCCCCUUAGUGCUGCAGCUAACGCAUUAAGCACUCCGCCUGGGGAGUACGGUCGCAAGACUGAAACUCAAAGGAAUUG